RNAcentral lists this ribosomal RNA (255 nucleotides) under uncultured bacterium. RNAcentral's name for it is "partial 16S ribosomal RNA". It matches the Rfam family "Bacterial small subunit ribosomal RNA", at positions 524 to 776 of the family's 1533-position model. The record is from RNAcentral.
UACGGGGGGAGCAAGCGUUGUUCGGAUUUACUGGGCGUAAAGGGCGCGUAGGCGGUCAGCACAAGUCAGUUGUGAAAUCUCCGGGCUUAACUCGGAAAGGUCAACUGAUACUGUGCGACUAGAGUGCAGAAGGGGCAACUGGAAUUCUCGGUGUAGCGGUGAAAUGCGUAGAUAUCGAGAGGAACACCAGAGGUGAAGACGGGUUGCUGGGCCGACACUGACGCUGACAGCGCGAAAGCCAGGGGAGCAAACGGG